CAGGUAGGGAUACCCGCUGAACUUAGCAUAUCAAUA
Molecule: ribosomal RNA, 36 nt
Filed under: Cladonia cariosa
Lineage: Eukaryota; Fungi; Ascomycota; Lecanoromycetes; Lecanorales; Cladoniaceae
Description: partial 28S ribosomal RNA
Source: RNAcentral